AGAGUUUGAUCCUGGCUCAGAGUGAACGCUGGCGGCGUGCCUAAUACAUGCAAGUCGAACGAUGAAGCUUCUAGCUUGCUAGAGUGCUGAUUAGUGGCGCACGGGUGAGUAACGCAUAGGUCAUGUGCCUCUUAGUUUGGGAUAGCCAUUGGAAACGAUGAUUAAUACCAGAUACUCCCUACGGGGGAAAGAUUUAUCGCUAAGAGAUCAGCCUAUGUCCUAUCAGCUUGUUGGUAAGGUAAUGGCUUACCAAGGCUAUGACGGGUAUCCGGCCUGAGAGGGUGAACGGACACACUGGAACUGAGACACGGUCCAGACUCCUACGGGAGGCAGCAGUAGGGAAUAUUGCUCAAUGGGGGAAACCCUGAAGCAGCAACGCCGCGUGGAGGAUGAAGGUUUUAGGAUUGUAAACUCCUUUUGUUAGAGAAGAUAAUGACGGUAUCUAACGAAUAAGCACCGGCUAACUCCGUGCCAGCAGCCGCGGUAAUACGGAGGGUGCAAGCGUUACUCGGAAUCACUGGGCGUAAAGAGCGCGUAGGCGGGAUAGUCAGUCAGGUGUGAAAUCCUAUGGCUUAACCAUAGAACUGCAUUUGAAACUACUAUUCUAGAGUGUGGGAGAGGUAGGUGGAAUUCUUGGUGUAGGGGUAAAAUCCGUAGAGAUCAAGAGGAAUACUCAUUGCGAAGGCGACCUGCUGGAACAUUACUGACGCCUGAUUGCGCGAAAGCGUGGGGAGCAAACAGGAUUAGAUACCCUGGUAGUCCACGCCCUAAACGAUGGAUGCUAGUUGUUGGAGGGCUUAGUCUCUCCAGUAAUGCAGCUAACGCAUUAAGCAUCCCGCCUGGGGAGUACGGUCGCAAGAUUAAAACUCAAAGGAAUAGACGGGGACCCGCACAAGCGGUGGAGCAUGUGGUUUAAUUCGAAGAUACACGAAGAACCUUACCUAGGCUUGACAUUGAGAGAAUCCGCUAGAAAUAGUGGAGUGUCUAGCUUGCUAGACCUUGAAAACAGGUGCUGCACGGCUGUCGUCAGCUCGUGUCGUGAGAUGUUGGGUUAAGUCCCGCAACGAGCGCAACCCCCUUUCUUAGUUGCUAACAGGUCAUGCUGAGAACUCUAAGGAUACUGCCUCCGUAAGGAGGAGGAAGGUGGGGACGACGUCAAGUCAUCAUGGCCCUUACGCCUAGGGCUACACACGUGCUACAAUGGGGUGCACAAAGAGAAGCAAUACUGCGAAGUGGAGCCAAUCUUCAAAACGCCUCUCAGUUCGGAUUGUAGGCUGCAACUCGCCUGCAUGAAGCUGGAAUCGCUAGUAAUCGCAAAUCAGCCAUGUUGCGGCGAAUACGUUCCCGGGUCUUGUACUCACCGCCCGUCACACCAUGGGAGUUGUGUUUGCCUUAAGUCAGGAUGCUAAACCAGCUACUGCCCACGGCACACACAGCGACUGGGGUGAAGUCGUAACAAGGUAACCGUAGGUGAACCUGCGGUUG
Molecule: ribosomal RNA, 1485 nt
Filed under: Helicobacter pylori Hp H-10
Lineage: Bacteria; Pseudomonadati; Campylobacterota; Epsilonproteobacteria; Campylobacterales; Helicobacteraceae
Description: bacterial SSU rRNA
Rfam family: Bacterial small subunit ribosomal RNA
Source: RNAcentral